AUUGAACGCUGGCGGCAGGCCUAACACAUGCAAGUCGAGCGGAAACGAAGGGAGCUUGCUCCCAGGCGUCGAGCGGCGGACGGGUGAGUAAUGCAUGGGAAUCUACCCGAUAGUGGGGGAUAACCUGGAAACCCAGGCUAAUACCGCAUACGUCCUACGGGAGAAAGCAGGGGAUCUUCGGACCUUGCGCUAUCGGAUGAGCCCAUGUCGGAUUAGCUGGUUGGUGGGGUAAAGGCCCACCAAGGCGACGAUCCGUAGCUGGUCUGAGAGGAUGAUCAGCACAUCGGGACUGAGACACGGCCCGAACUCCUACGGGAGGCAGCAGUGGGGAAUAUUGGACAAUGGGCGCAAGCCUGAUCCAGCCAUGCCGCGUGUGUGAAGAAGGCCUUCGGGUUGUAAAGCACUUUCAGUGAGGAAGAACGC
Molecule: ribosomal RNA, 423 nt
Filed under: uncultured bacterium
Lineage: Bacteria
Description: bacterial SSU rRNA
Rfam family: Bacterial small subunit ribosomal RNA
Source: RNAcentral